UAAGUCUCCUGAAGGAACGUUGAAGACGACGACGUUGAUAGGCCGGGUGUGUAAGCGCAGCGAUGCGUUGAGCUAACCGGUACUAAUGAACCGUGAGGCUUAACCUUACAACGCCGAAG
This 119-nucleotide ribosomal RNA is filed under the name Klebsiella pneumoniae. RNAcentral describes it as "partial 23S ribosomal RNA". The stretch from base 1 to 107 matches the Rfam family "Bacterial large subunit ribosomal RNA", at positions 2819 to 2925 of the family's 2925-position model. Lineage: Bacteria; Pseudomonadati; Pseudomonadota; Gammaproteobacteria; Enterobacterales; Enterobacteriaceae. The record is from RNAcentral. RNAcentral also lists the same sequence under 9 other names.